GGCCCAGCGCCCGGGCCGGCGCCCAGCCAGUCCCCACCCGCUGGAUUUCCUGAUGUAAACAGAGCAAGAACACAGCAACUCUGCUGAAUGUGUCACGCGGCGCUCUUUAUCUGCUUGGGGUCAAGACGGCGACUUAGAAAAACAGAAGCGUUGCUUUGAAUUUAAACAGCUAAGAGCCAGAGCCGAGACUGGUCUGCAGGGGGGAGGGCGAAGGCCUCCAGACCCACCUCCCGCUUUUGUGCCUACUUGUUCCACUUUAUGGCAUGAUUUGUUUCCUUAGGAAUUCCUUCUAUAGUACUUGGAGCUUUGUGGAUAAAGCACCAGUCAGAGCCGCCCUGUGGAAAUGGAGCAAAGAGUUGAAAUGUGAUUCCCAACCUGGAGUGGAUGCUCUUUUCACGCUCAGCUGGGUCUCUAACUCCUGAAAUAUUAAUCUGACAUAGGACAAGUACCAUCCAGGGAUGUGAAAAAUCCAGCCUGAGGCCCCAAACAGAGUGGGUCCUGCUCUCUGGGCAGAUCCAGAGCUCCUGAAGAUGAAAACCUCGUAAGCCAACUGUGGACUCGGUGCUUUGCUGCAAGAGGAUUCAUUUGAGCUAUAAUAAAAAGUAGUGUGUUUAUUUAACCCCUGUAAGC
This 630-nucleotide long non-coding RNA is filed under the name Bos mutus (wild yak). Its description in RNAcentral is "lncRNA (ENSBMUG00000011255.1)". Lineage: Eukaryota; Metazoa; Chordata; Mammalia; Artiodactyla; Bovidae. The record is from RNAcentral.